CCUACGGGGGGCUGCAGUGGGGAAUCUUGCGCAAUGCGCGAAAGCGUGACGCAGCAACGCCGCGUGGGGGAAGAAGGCCUUCGGGUUGUAAACCUCUUUCAGUUGGGACGAAGCCUUACGGGUUAAUAGCCCGCGGAGGUGACGGUACCUUCAGAAGAAGCCCCGGCUAACUACGUGCCAGCAGCCGCGGUAAUACGUAGGGGGCAAGCGUUGUCCGGAAUCAUUGGGCGUAAAGAGCGUGUAGGCGGCCCGAUAAGUCCGCUGUGAAAGUCCAGGGCUCAACCCUGGAAUGCCGGUGGAUACUGUCGGGCUCGAAUCCGGAAGAGGUGAGUGGAAUUCCUGGUGUAGCGGUGAAAUGCGCAGAUAUCAGGAGGAACACCAAUGGCGAAGGCAGCUCACUGGGACGGUAUUGACGCUGAGACGCGAAAGCGUGGGGAGCAAACAGGAUUAGAUACCCCAGUAGUC
RNAcentral lists this ribosomal RNA (465 nucleotides) under uncultured Solirubrobacterales bacterium. RNAcentral describes it as "bacterial SSU rRNA". It matches the Rfam family "Bacterial small subunit ribosomal RNA", at positions 338 to 795 of the family's 1533-position model. Lineage: Bacteria; Bacillati; Actinomycetota; Thermoleophilia; Solirubrobacterales. The record is from RNAcentral.